This 147-nucleotide small RNA is filed under the name Anaerobacillus arseniciselenatis. RNAcentral describes it as "c-di-AMP sequence". It matches the Rfam family "c-di-AMP riboswitch aptamer (ydaO/yuaA leader)". Rfam says of the family: This family represents a conserved RNA structure found upstream of the ydaO and yuaA genes in Bacillus subtilis and related genes in other bacteria. The ydaO/yuaA element is thought to act as a genetic "off" switch for the ydaO and yuaA genes in its native state. The record is from RNAcentral. Lineage: Bacteria; Bacillati; Bacillota; Bacilli; Caryophanales; Bacillaceae.
ACCUAUAAAUCGCUGAAUCAUUUUUGAGCGGGGGAACCAUUUUGAUAGUUUACUAACUAUCAUGGGGUGAAUCUUACAUAUGUAAGAGGGGAUACUCUCAGUCCCUAAUCCGACAGCUAACCUCGUAAGCGUUACUUGAAGAGAGGA